Long non-coding RNA from Hypanus sabinus (Atlantic stingray), 299 nucleotides. RefSeq lists it as uncharacterized. Lineage: Eukaryota; Metazoa; Chordata; Chondrichthyes; Myliobatiformes; Dasyatidae. The record is from RefSeq and is a predicted model, not a curated record. The transcript is spliced from 3 exons.
GGAAAGCAGCAGGUCACCUUGAAACACAAGCCUAUUUCAAUUCCAUCCUGCAUAUAACCUUCGACCAGUUGGUGGGUACCCUAUUGAGAUAGGAUGUCUCAUCCAAGAGAUAGAGCUGACCAGUCUGAAAAUCUGACAUCUGCAUUCUGAAAGACCAAUUGCAUUUCUUAGUUACGCCUGUCAAAGGUUGAAAGGGCAGAUCGGUUACACAAAAGGGCAAUAUUAAAGUGGAGAGGAUAGAAAACAAGGAGCCAAUGCAUAGGACGAAUGCUGAAUGACCCUGAUUCAACUACUUCCCU